GAUGAACGCUGGCGGCGUGCCUAAUACAUGCAAGUCGAGCGAACGGACGAGAAGCUCGCGUCUCUGAUGUUAGCGGCGGACGGGUGAGUAACACGUGGAUAACCUACCUAUAAGACUGGGAUAACUUCGGGAAACCGGAGCUAAUACCAGAUGAUAUUUUGAACCGCAUGGUUCAAAAGUGAAAGACGGUCUUGCUGUCACAUAGAGAUGGAUCCGCGCUGCAUUAGCUAGUUGGUAAGGUAACGGCUUACCAAGGCAACGAUGCAUAGCCGACCUGAGAGGGUGAUCGGCCACACUGGAACUGAGACACGGUCCAGACUCCUACGGGAGGCAGCAGUAGGGAAUCUUCCGCAAUGGGCGAAAGCCUGACGGAGCAACGCCGCGUGAGUGAUGAAGGUCUUCGGAUCGUAAAACUCUGUUAUUAGGGAAGAACAUAUGUGUAAGUAACUGUGCACGUCUUGACGGUACCUAAUCAGAAAGCCACGGCUAACUACGUG
RNAcentral lists this ribosomal RNA (497 nucleotides) under uncultured bacterium. RNAcentral describes it as "partial 16S ribosomal RNA". It matches the Rfam family "Bacterial small subunit ribosomal RNA", at positions 28 to 507 of the family's 1533-position model. The record is from RNAcentral.